UAAUUUCCACAGCCUUCUCUCUUCCAUUCUUUUCUAAUUCGACUUCUUCAUCUUCUUCAAACGAUUUCUCAUUUUCUUCAUUGAUCCAUAUCCAAAUCUAUCUGUGUUUAUGAUAACUUUUGAAACCCUAGAAACCGAUACGUAAACAACCGUUCGAUCAUCUGUGUUCUUCCUUCAAUGAUCUCGGCAACGAUUGGAACCCUAGAUCUCUAAAGCAACGAUUCGUUUUCGGAUGUCAGAAGAACGGUGCCGGAAUACUCUCUGGUCUCUCACAUGACUUCUACAAGCAGUGAAGCAGGUACACAAGUUAUUGUUAUCAAUAAGGUUUUGGAUUUGAACUCAUUAAGGUAGUAAUCUCUCUAUUUUCUUAUGAUAUUAUUCUUUGGUUUUGGUUCAUAUAAUUUAUUACUGUUUAUAUAUUUUAUUAUGGCUUAUACUGAACUUAUUGGUUUGAUUGUGGAGUGGUUGGGAUUAUGGUCUCUGGGUAAUCAGAUGGAUUAAAGCUUAAGAGUGAAUGUUGAUGGAAGGAAACAAGAACUAAUUGAUGCUUCCGAAGCAAGUGUGUUUUUUUCUGGUUUGCUGACACAAAGAAAGGUACAUCUUUACUGGUCUUUGUAUGCAACCAAAGGACUAAAUUCAGCUAGGAUAUGCGAUUUUGACUAUUAAGGAACUACACCAGCAUGAGUGAAAACAUUUUUUGCUCUUGACAUUCACCACCUUAUUUGUCUAGAUAGGAUGCAGGUCCACUCAUCAUUUGACAGAAUCAAUCAUGUUAAGGAUGCAAUCGUGCUCUCUAAUAUUGUUACAACGAUAUCACCAACAUAUGCACAAGCGUUGCGGACUUCACAGUUAGGGGUGUUUACCGGAUUUUCUUCGGGUUUCGGGUUUUCGGGUCAAGUAGUUCUGGUUUUUGUCUAGAAAAAACUGACCCGAUCACCAACCCAUUUAAAGCUCGGGUUAGUCGGUUUUGGAUCGUUCAAGCCAGGUUGUUCGAUUUUCGAGUUAUAGAUGUAAAACGAAAUUAAAUGUUUUUUUACAAAAUAUAAUCAAAAUUCAUAUUGCUACUUUAAAAACAUCAUCAAAGUUAUUAUGAUAUUUAAAAGUUUCAAAACUUGAUGUUCUAUAUAUUAAAGAGUCCUACCAAAACAUUUUUAUAAGAAAAAAACUCUAAAUAGUCUCAAAACUUAAUGUUCCAUAUAUUAAAGACUCCAUACCAAAAGAUUUCUACAAGAAAAAAACAAUAAAUGUUUAGUUUUAUUCGGGUUUUAUGUUUCGGGUUCGGGUUCGGGUCGGGUUGUUUGGGUUUUUGGCCUGAAAAAAGUAACCUGAACCGAACUAUUGAAAUAGUGGGUUGGUCGGGUUCGGGUUUUUCGCUAAAUCUGGUUCGGAUAAAAAUGAAGAGCCUUAUUCACAGGUAAUGAUAUUUCAUCAAAUUUAUUGCAUUCAGUGUAUAAAUAUAUAUAUACAGAAAUUUUAAUCUAUCAUACAAGUAGGAUAAGGGCUUCAUGAAACCAUUAAUGCUCAUGCUCAAAAGUGUGUUGGGAUUCUGAAUGGAAUUGAUACUGAUUAUUGGAAUACUUCUACCAACAGUUAUCUUAUACUGAAUGGAAUUUGUUUUUUCUCAAAAUCUUAUGCUACUAAAAACAUGUUUUUAGAAUGAUGGAUUUGAUAAGGAGGUGGAACUACGAACACUUUUAGUUGAGGCAAAACACAAUAUUUAGCAUAUUUUAGACUUUUUUACUUUUAAGGUCGAUCUUUCUUCAUUCUUCCUUCCUGUCCAUAAGCUAUUGAAUUUUAGUGUAAUAUCCCAACCAAUAGUAUUUGCUAUACAGUUUACCAUAAUUAUACAUGUUUUAUACUUCUAUAAAAACCUCAACGAAUAAAACUUAUUUUUGGCACAUUUUGACAUGUUACUCAAGAAAUGCCUUUGACCCAAAUGGACCUGAACAUUAGCAUUCGCCGAUGACAAAGUCCAUUUACCUAUUUAUAAGCAGGUCCUUAAAAACUGGUUAAAGUCUUAUUCUUGAGUAACAUAUCAAAAUGGGUCGAGUCAGAUGGAAUUUUUCAUAGGUAAAUGGACUUUUAUCAUAGUCAUUAAUACAAGUGAAAAUAGGAUUCUAAAUCAUGAUAUUAUUUAUUCAUUUAGUGGUUGUAUCAGGUGGCAAAGAAGUGAAGUUAUCGAUGUUGCAGCUGUGAAAAAUACAUGACAAAUUUGGUGGCUGCUAUUGUUGAUAAGGACUGAUUAGUCUUGGGCAGAUCUGUCCAUUUACUUGUUACGGGUCGUAUGCGUCAAUUCUUGCAUUGAUCGGGUAAAUUUCCUUAAUAGAGACUGUAUGAAACUUUAGCAGAUUAUUAA
Long non-coding RNA from Helianthus annuus (common sunflower), 2356 nucleotides. RefSeq lists it as uncharacterized. The record is from RefSeq and is a predicted model, not a curated record. Lineage: Eukaryota; Viridiplantae; Streptophyta; Magnoliopsida; Asterales; Asteraceae. The transcript is spliced from 7 exons.